GAUGAACGCUGGCGGCGUGCCUAAUACAUGCAAGUCGAGCGAACGGACGAGAAGCUUGCUUCUCUGAUGUUAGCGGCGGACGGGUGAGUAACACGUGGAUAACCUACCUAUAAGACUGGGAUAACUUCGGGAAACCGUAGCUAAUACCGGAUAAUAUUUUGAACCGCAUGGUUCAAAAGUGAAAGACGGUCUUGCUGUCACUUAUAGAUGGAUCCGCGCUGCAUUAGCUAGUUGGUAAGGUAACGGCUUACCAAGGCAACGAUGCAUAGCCGACCUGAGAGGGUGAUCGGCCACACUGGAACAGAGACACAGUCCAGACACCUACGGGAGGCAGCAGUAGGGAAUCUUCCGCAAUGGGCGAAAGCCUGACGGAGCAACGCCGCGUGAGUGAUGAAGGUCUUCGGAUCGUAAAACUCUGUUAUUAGGGAAGAACAUAUGUGUAAGUAACUGUGCACAUCUUGACGGUACCUAAUCAGAAAGCCACGGCUAACUACGUG
Molecule: ribosomal RNA, 497 nt
Filed under: uncultured bacterium
Lineage: Bacteria
Description: partial 16S ribosomal RNA
Rfam family: Bacterial small subunit ribosomal RNA
Source: RNAcentral